RNAcentral lists this long non-coding RNA (207 nucleotides) under Vigna radiata. RNAcentral describes it as "long non-coding RNA (VRAD_LNC008839)". The record is from RNAcentral. Lineage: Eukaryota; Viridiplantae; Streptophyta; Magnoliopsida; Fabales; Fabaceae.
CUGGUUUUAGUAGACAAAAAUACCCUCAUAUAUUAUGGAUUCUAAGUUUUAAAGUUAAGGGUAUUUGAAUAAUUUUCAUUCUCAAAACUAAAAAAAAGGAAAAAAAGAAACCUCAAACCCUUACUCACCUCCUUCAUUCCUCUCAACCCUUUCUCUUUCAUCUCUUUCACUCCAACCUUUUCUCUCUCAUCCUAUGAUAGAUUCAAC